Molecule: ribosomal RNA, 366 nt
Filed under: uncultured bacterium
Lineage: Bacteria
Description: bacterial SSU rRNA
Rfam family: Bacterial small subunit ribosomal RNA
Source: RNAcentral
UAGGGAAUAUUGGGCAAUGGAGGGAACUCUGACCCAGCCAUGCCGCGUGCAGGAUGAAGGCGUUAUGCGUUGUAAACUGCUUUUUAUAUAGGAAGAAAUAGUCCUUGCGAGGAAAGUUGACGGUACUAUAUGAAUAAGCACCGGCUAACUCCGUGCCAGCAGCCGCGGUAAUACGGAGGGUGCAAGCGUUGUCCGGAUUUAUUGGGUUUAAAGGGUGCGUAGGCGGUUUAUUAAGUCAGUGGUGAAAGACGGUCGCUCAACGAUUGCAGUGCCAUUGAUACUGGUAGACUUGAGUAUGAUUGAGGUAGCUGGAAUGGAUAGUGUAGCGGUGAAAUGCAUAGAUAUUAUCCAGAACACCAAUUGCGU